Molecule: ribosomal RNA, 42 nt
Filed under: Orbilia dorsalia
Lineage: Eukaryota; Fungi; Ascomycota; Orbiliomycetes; Orbiliales; Orbiliaceae
Description: Orbilia dorsalis partial 18S ribosomal RNA
Source: RNAcentral
CCUUCUUGGUCAUUUAGAGGAAGUAAAAGUCGUAACAAGGUU